RNAcentral lists this long non-coding RNA (279 nucleotides) under Hordeum vulgare. RNAcentral describes it as "long non-coding RNA (HVUL_LNC012195)". Lineage: Eukaryota; Viridiplantae; Streptophyta; Magnoliopsida; Poales; Poaceae. The record is from RNAcentral.
GUCUGCGCCUUCAAGGCAGGCGUGCGGUACAGGGAGCUGUACUUGAAGUUUGGUCGAACCGGCGACAUCUCCAGGAGCAAGAUGAUGGAGAUAGCAACUCGCUAUGCAAAUGGCGAAGAAGAGGACCGCAUCCGGAGCGGUAAACACAAGACAGUCGGCGAUGCCGACGGAGGUAACACUCGGAAGCAGAAACCGAAGGUUCCGCCCACACCGCAAGCAGAAGCUGCAGCUGUAACCAGCGCCAAAUUCAAGGGUAAAGGGAAAGCGCAGUUCACCCCC